RNAcentral lists this ribosomal RNA (468 nucleotides) under uncultured bacterium. RNAcentral describes it as "partial 16S ribosomal RNA". It matches the Rfam family "Bacterial small subunit ribosomal RNA", at positions 28 to 507 of the family's 1533-position model. The record is from RNAcentral.
GACGAACGCUGGCGGCGUGCUUAACACAUGCAAGUCGAACGGAAAGGCCCUGCUUUUGUGGGGUGCUCGAGUGGCGAACGGGUGAGUAACACGUGAGUAACCUGCCCUUGACUUUGGGAUAACUUCAGGAAACUGGGGCUAAUACCGGAUAGGAGCUCCUGCUGCAUGGUGGGGGUUGGAAAGUUUCGGCGGUUGGGGAUGGACUCGCGGCUUAUCAGCUUGUUGGUGGGGUAGUGGCUUACCAAGGCUUUGACGGGUAGCCGGCCUGAGAGGGUGACCGGCCACAUUGGGACAGAGAUACGGCCCAGACUCCUACGGGAGGCAGCAGUGGGGAAUAUUGCACAAUGGGCGGAAGCCUGAUGCAGCAACGCCGCGUGCGGGAUGACGGCCUUCGGGUUGUAACCCGCUUUCGCCUGUGACGAAGCGUGAGUGACGGUAAUGGGUAAAGAAGCACCGGCUAACUACGUG